AAGCUCGUAGUUGGAUUUCGGAAGGUCUUUAGUGGUCCGCCCCUUCGGGGAGCGGGUCACUGGCCUCCUAUGUUCCUAACGGUCCUCAUCCGCGAGGGUGGGGAAUCAACCGCUAGGAUCGUUUACUUUGAGGAAAUUAGAGUGUUCAAAGCAGGCGUAACUCGCCUCCGAAUACGUUAGCAUGGGAUAAUGGAAUACGACUUCGGUCUUGUUUCGUUGGUUUCGCUUGGCUGAAGUAAUGAUUGAUAGGGACAGUUGGGGGCAUUAGUAUUUAGUUGUCAGAGGUGAAAUUCUAGGAUUUACUAAAGACUGACCAAUGCGAAAGCAUUUGCCAAGGAUGUUUUCAUUAAUCAAGAACGAAAGUAGGGGGAUCGAAGACGAUCAGAUACCGUCGUAGUCUCUACCGUAAACUAUGCCGACCAGGGAUCCGGAGAGUUUGCAUGGAUGACUCCCCGGGCACCUUGUGAGAAAUCA
Molecule: ribosomal RNA, 474 nt
Filed under: Vermamoeba vermiformis
Lineage: Eukaryota; Tubulinea; Echinamoebida; Vermamoebidae
Description: SSU rRNA
Rfam family: Eukaryotic small subunit ribosomal RNA
Source: RNAcentral